This is a long non-coding RNA of Tachysurus fulvidraco (yellow catfish), 1373 nucleotides long. RefSeq lists it as uncharacterized. The transcript has 3 exons. NCBI's taxonomy places the organism in Eukaryota, Metazoa, Chordata, Actinopteri, Siluriformes, Bagridae. The record is from RefSeq and is a predicted model, not a curated record.
UCCCGACCUGCACCGCGGCAAAAAUAAGCGUUGACCGUUAAAAAAAAUGACAAAAAAAAUAAUUAAAAAUUCCUAAAGCGAAUAUAUGCAUUAAAAAUGGCUGGUUUCGUAAAGACUAUUAAAAACUAAAGUUAGCGAGGUGUCGAAAUUUAAAAAAUUGUAGAGGAUUUUUUUUAUUUAUUUUUUUCCCCCUCUGUGCUUCGUGUCAUCACGGUGUAGAGGCGCUGCAGUGAACAGCCGUGGCGCCAUUUUCAAAGUUCAGAGCUCGAGUGAAUGGAACCUCUUGUUAUAGACAAAACUCUUAUUUCGCUCUGUUACUCAUUUUUAAUUUUCUAAUCCGUCGUCGUUUUACACCCUGAAGCGAACAUACGGACUCCGAGGACGAGGUUUUUUUUUAUUUUAAAAAAGGAAAAAAGGUGCAGAAUUGAAUUCAGAGGACGAUUGGUGUUCAGUGAGUUCCUUUUGGGAUUAUCAGCCACCUUCACCUCUCCUCUGUUGCUUAAGAGGGUAAAGAAAAAAGGCUGGGGCUGGCAAGAGUAGACAAAAAUGAACGCGUUCUUCAGCUGUGCUGACGUGAUCAUUUGAUUGAGACUGCAAAUAGGCUGCUCUUUUAUCUGAUAUAACUUCAAUCUACAAUCUUCUAGUAAUACUGUAAUGUUGUGUAGUUAGUUAACCUUGCAGAAGGUUAUUAAUUUUUUAAUAUUACUUUUUCAGUUAACCCUGAAACCAAUAUAUAUAUAUUUUUUUUAUAUAAAAACAAUCCAUUUAAGGUUUGAUUACACUACAUGGUGGUAUAUUUCUUAAGAUUUAUAAAUUACACUACAUUAUCUGCAGUGUAAGUGUACUUUAAAUAAAUACAAAUAUUUUGCUGUAAGACUUAUAAUUUCCCCCAUUAAUUGAACUACUGCAGAGUUUUGAUGUGGUGUGUUUCCUAAUUCUUUGUGCUAGAGCCACCAUGUAAUGAUAAAAAAAAAGUAUUUCAUAAAAGCAUCCAAAUUUUUCGUCAUUGCAGUAAUUAGUUUUGAUUAUCUAGUUACUCAAACAUGUAUUAUUCAGAAGAUGAAUGUGUAUUUGGUUUGUCUCUGUUCAUUCACUGUCAAGGUCACACCUUCAUGAUUUUCAAUGUUCUUUUUUUCUUCUUUUUUUUUCUACCUCACCUUCUGCAGUACCUUCAAAAUUUGAAAAACCUUAGCAGUUAAUUUGAAUCAUUUACUACAAAUCACUAUGUCCUGUUAAAUAUUCCUUUUUAUUUUUUAGUUUGGAUUUAAAGUUUAGAAUUUUUCCAUUUUGUGUAGUGUUUUUUUUUAUUUCACUAUAAUUUUUAGUUUUGAUCUUUCUUUUUAAAGCAUUAUUAAAAUUGUGCAUUUACUCUA